RNAcentral lists this long non-coding RNA (205 nucleotides) under Nicotiana benthamiana. RNAcentral's name for it is "long non-coding RNA (NBEN_LNC032871)". Lineage: Eukaryota; Viridiplantae; Streptophyta; Magnoliopsida; Solanales; Solanaceae. The record is from RNAcentral.
UUUUGUGUUAAUUAAUUUUCUGAUACUAAAGUUAAGAAAUACAGGACGUAACACACAAAAUACUGGAAUUUGGAAUAGAACUACUGAAACUUAUAUAAGGAGGGAUCGGAGAGGAAGCAGGUGGAAAUUGCAACCUUUGCAUAAGUGAUUUUUUUUAAUAGAUGAGAUGGAUUAAUCUGCAUAUAUAUACUAGUGCAUUUUUGAA